This 1218-nucleotide long non-coding RNA is filed under the name Sparus aurata (gilthead seabream). Its description in RNAcentral is "lncRNA (ENSSAUG00010005203.1)". Lineage: Eukaryota; Metazoa; Chordata; Actinopteri; Spariformes; Sparidae. The record is from RNAcentral.
AUGUCAAAUGCCACCUCCACCUCCUCCUCUGGACCAUCCACAGGCUGUUGGGACUCACCUACAGUGAACUCUCAGAUCAUCAAGAAUGUGAAAGAUGCAUGGGAGGGGAAACGUAUGCGUGUACUUGAAUCGAGGAUUGGGCCCUUAAAAAUAUUUUAUAAGGACAUUUUCUCCACUGCACCAAAGAGACCAGUAACAGAUGAGGUAAUAAACGCAUGUCUGACCCUCCUGGUCAAAGAAUUUAAUAAGGAUGGUCCAGAGAAGGCGUUUCCACUGGACUCGGGGAGGAUGAAGACUAUAUGGCAACACAAAAGUCCAACAAAAACUCAGAUCGACCUGGAGGUCUUCAAGUACAUCGUGGGGGUCAAUGAAGGUCAUCACUGGAUGCUCGUGGUGAUUAAACCAGGAGAGAGGAGAACCCUGUUCAUGGAUCCACUGGGGGAACAUGGAGAAGAUGCAGCACUGCAAGAACGUGACGAGUUUGCUGAGUGCAUUUUGGACGGUUCUCCGCUGGAGUUUCAUGAAUCACCUUCCAGCUUUAAUGCGAUUCGACGGGAGAUUGCAGUCUGUCUUCUGGAGAAUACAGGUGUCUCUUAAAAAUAUUAUACAUAUGUUGCGUGUGGCCAUGACAUCACUCACUUACUCAGACAUUCAUUCAAUCACUGUGCUGUGCCUGAACUGGCACUGGUGUCCUUUUAUGUUGAGGUCUCCAAUUUGAGCCACUGAUUCAUUAAUUUAAUUGUUUGGAGGCCGUAACAACAUAUCAUUUUAGACUGGAAACGUGUUUGCUGUACAUAUUUUCAAAACUGUCCAAAUGCUCAAAUUAACUAUGAUAGUGUUAACUCACACAAACCUUGCUCAUUAUGAGGUAAUUAUUAUCUCCUUGUUUUUGUAGAUGACUUGACUGACCUUUGUCAUCUCUGCAGGAUGGCGACACUCACUGAGUAACUGCUGAUGUUUUACAUGUUCAGCUUAAAGGAUGAUCACCACAAGGCAACAUUGCAUCACUAUCUCACCAUAAUAUUUUAGUUUUGUCUUUUGUCCAUUCAGAUUGGCUGCUGUGCCCUCGAUGGUUUCACAGGAGCUGUGCCAAGAGACCAGACCCAGAGGAUGCAAACAUUUUUCUGCCUCGCAUGCCAGUAAUAAAAUGUAUUAUUAAAAUGUUUUAAUAUUAUUUUGUUCUGAGGCUGUUUUUGUUGCAAUAUUUGAUUUUCCCGG